CGCGGCCUAUCAGCUUGUUGGUGGGGUAAUGGCCUACCAAGGCGACGACGGGUAGCCGGCCUGAGAGGGUGACCGGCCACACUGGGACUGAGACACGGCCCAGACUCCUACGGGAGGCAGCAGUGGGGAAUAUUGCACAAUGGGCGCAAGCCUGAUGCAGCGACGCCGCGUGAGGGAUGACGGCCUUCGGGUUGUAAACCUCUUUCAGUAGGGAAGAAGCCUUUCGGGGUGACGGUACUUGCAGAAGAAGCGCCGGCUAACUACGUGCCAGCAGCCGCGGUAAUACGUAGGGCGCAAGCGUUAUCCGGAAUUAUUGGGCGUAAAGAGCUCGUAGGCGGUUUGUCGCGUCUGCUGUGAAAGACCGGGGCUCAACUCCGGUUCUGCAGUGGGUACGGGCAGACUAGAGUGCAGUAGGGGAGACUGGAAUUCCUGGUGUAGCGGUGAAAUGCGCAGAUAUCAGGAGGAACACCGAUGGCGAAGGCAGAUCUCUGGGCCGUAACUGACGCUGAGGAGCGAAAGGGUGGGGAGCAAACAGGCUUAGAUACCCUGGUAGUCCACCCCGUAAACGUUGGGAACUAGUUGUGGGGUCCUUUCCACGGAUUCCGUGACGCAGCUAACGCAUUAAGUUCCCCGCCUGGGGAGUACGG
This 647-nucleotide ribosomal RNA is filed under the name uncultured Actinomycetes bacterium. Its description in RNAcentral is "bacterial SSU rRNA". It matches the Rfam family "Bacterial small subunit ribosomal RNA", at positions 232 to 885 of the family's 1533-position model. The record is from RNAcentral. Lineage: Bacteria; Bacillati; Actinomycetota; Actinomycetes.